RNAcentral lists this ribosomal RNA (450 nucleotides) under uncultured bacterium. RNAcentral's name for it is "bacterial SSU rRNA". It matches the Rfam family "Bacterial small subunit ribosomal RNA", at positions 354 to 796 of the family's 1533-position model. The record is from RNAcentral.
GUGGGGAAUAUUGGACAAUGGGGGCAACCCUGAUCCAGCCAUGCCGCGUGUGUGAAGAAGGCCUUCGGGUUGUAAAGCACUUUCAGCGGGGAGGAAAGGGCGCUGGUUAAUACCUGGCGCAGUUGACGUUACCCGCAGAAGAAGCACCGGCUAACUCCGUGCCAGCAGCCGCGGUAAUACGGAGGGUGCGAGCGUUAAUCGGAAUUACUGGGCGUAAAGCGCGCGUAGGCGGCCAACUAAGUCGGUUGUGAAAGCCCCGGGCUCAACCUGGGAAUGGCAGUCGAUACUGGUUGGCUGGAGUAUGGGAGAGGACAGUGGAAUUCCAGGUGUAGCGGUGAAAUGCGUAGAGAUCUGGAGGAACAUCAGUGGCGAAGGCGACUGUCUGGCCUGAUACUGACGCUGAGGUGCGAAAGCGUGGGGAGCAAACAGGAUUAGAUACCCGUGUAGUCC